This 59-nucleotide transfer RNA is filed under the name Loxodonta africana (African savanna elephant). It matches the Rfam family "tRNA", at positions 8 to 63 of the family's 71-position model. Rfam says of the family: Transfer RNA (tRNA) molecules are approximately 80 nucleotides in length. Their secondary structure includes four short double-helical elements and three loops (D, anti-codon, and T loops). Further hydrogen bonds mediate the characteristic L-shaped molecular structure. tRNAs have two regions of fundamental functional importance: the anti-codon, which is responsible for specific mRNA codon recognition, and the 3' end, to which the tRNAs corresponding amino acid is attached (by aminoacyl-tRNA synthetases). tRNAs cope with the degeneracy of the genetic code in two manners: having more than one tRNA (with a specific anti-codon) for a particular amino acid; and 'wobble' base-pairing, i.e. permitting non-standard base-pairing at the 3rd anti-codon position. Lineage: Eukaryota; Metazoa; Chordata; Mammalia; Proboscidea; Elephantidae. The record is from Rfam by way of RNAcentral.
UGGUGCAAAUGGUUAACGCAUUCAGCUGCUAACUGAAAGUUUGGUGGUUUGAGUCCACC